Molecule: ribosomal RNA, 459 nt
Filed under: uncultured bacterium
Lineage: Bacteria
Description: partial 16S ribosomal RNA
Rfam family: Bacterial small subunit ribosomal RNA
Source: RNAcentral
CUACGGGGGGCUGCAGUGAGGAAUAUUGGACAAUGGGCGAAAGCCUGAUCCAGCCAUGCCGCGUGCAGGAAGACGGCCCUAUGGGUUGUAAACUGCUUUUGUACGGGAAGAAACACCCCCACGUGUGGGGGCUUGACGGUACCGUAAGAAUAAGCAUCGGCUAACUCCGUGCCAGCAGCCGCGGUAAUACGGAGGAUGCAAGCGUUAUCCGGAAUCAUUGGGUUUAAAGGGUCCGUAGGCGGACAAUUAAGUCAGAGGUGAAAUUCUGCGGCUCAACCGUAGAACUGCCUUUGAAACUGGUUGUCGUGAAUCGUUGUGAAGUGGUUAGAAUGAGCAGUGUAGCGGUGAAAUGCUUAGAGAUUGCUCAGAAUACCGAUUGCGAAGGCAGAUCACUAACAACGUAUUGACGCUGAGGGACGAAAGCGUGGGGAGCGAACAGGAUUAGAUACCCCAGUAGUC